CCUACGGGAGUCAGCAGUGGGGAAUAUUGCGCAAUGAGCGAAAGCCUGACGCAGCGACGCCGCGUGAGGGAUGAAGGUCUUCGGAUCGUACACCUCUGUCAGCAGGGAAGAACGGUCACUGUGCUAAUCAGCAGUGAAUUGACGGUACCUGCAAAGGCAGCACCGGCUAACUCCGUGCCAGCAACCGCGGUAAUACGGAGGGUGCGAGCGUUAAUCGGAAUUACUGGGCGUAAAGCGCUCGUAGGCGGGAUGGCAAGUCAAGGGUGAAAUCCCCGCGCUCAACGUGGUAACUGCCUUUGAAACUGGCAAACUGGAGUGUGUGAGAGGAUAGUGGAAGUCCAGGUGUAGGAGUGAAAGCCGUAGAUAUCUGGAGGAACAUCAGUGGCGAAGGCGACUAUCUGGCACAUAACUGACGCUGAGGAGCGAAAGCGUGGGUAGCAAACAGGAUUAGAUACCCUUGUAGUC
RNAcentral lists this ribosomal RNA (465 nucleotides) under uncultured bacterium. RNAcentral's name for it is "partial 16S ribosomal RNA". It matches the Rfam family "Bacterial small subunit ribosomal RNA", at positions 338 to 795 of the family's 1533-position model. The record is from RNAcentral.